AAAUUUUAAAUUCCGCUGCGCCUUGGAUGGCAAUUCUCCAACAUCAAUAUCAAUGGAACUUAGGUGUUGAUAAGGUGUAAACCAUAAUCCACCAAAAUGGAUGAUUGAUAUUGACGAUGACGUGAGCCAUCCGGUGACCUUUGUGUGGUGUGAAUUGCUUGAUCCUUCAGUGUGAUUGUUGCAUCCAUGCAUUCAUGCAUUCAUAUGCAUCCAUAUCAUCAACAAUAAAAUUUUCAAGAAACUUAACAGGUCUAUUUGCAAAU
This 263-nucleotide long non-coding RNA is filed under the name Lathyrus oleraceus (garden pea). RNAcentral describes it as "Pisum sativum (pea) long non-coding RNA (PSAT_LNC026081)". Lineage: Eukaryota; Viridiplantae; Streptophyta; Magnoliopsida; Fabales; Fabaceae. The record is from RNAcentral.